GACGACGGCGAUCAUCGCCACAGCAAACUGCAUGCUGCGUGCCAUGUCGAUCGAUCGAGCUAUUCGUGUGUGCUGAGUGAUCUGAGUGCCUGACUGUGUGCUAGUAUGCUAGCUUUGGAAUGCAGUGAGAGCAAGUGCUAGCUGGUGAGGAGAAUAUGCAGUGAAAUGUUGGUCCUUAAAUAGGCUUGAGAUCGAUCUGAGAGCUACAAUGGCUGAUGACAGAUGUCAUGCAUGGUGUGUGCAUGCUGUUUCUUUCGGUAGAACAUCAUCAUCGUACAGUUAAGAGCCGGGCAGGAGGAGGUGGUUGGGUGUUGGGGGCAGGAGGCAGAUGGAGGAUGUGGAUGGAAAUACACAUAUGCAGUGGUUAGUGGAUGCAGAGUGAAUUCAUCAUCAGCAGCAGCAGCAGCAGCAAACUUAAUAAAUAGCAGCCGCCUAACACGACUUAAUAAUAAAUUAAACAGUUAAGCGUCAUUUAAUCUCAUCACCCGCCUCACUGAUUAAUCGAAUGAGGCCUUGUUUAGUUCACCCCAAAAUCCAAAAAUUUUUCAAGAUUCACUGUCACAUCGAAUCUUGGGGCACAUGCAUGGAGCACUAAAUAUAAACAAAAAUAAAAACUAAUUGCACAGUUUAUCUGUAAAUCACGAGAUGAAUCUUUUAAGCCUAGUUACUCUAUAAUUGGACAAUGUUUGUCAAAUAAAAACGAAAAUGCUACAGUUCCAAAAACCAAAAUGUUUUCGGAACUAAACAAUAUAUAGCCUCCCACAGGCUCACAAAAUCUGAGAACUCACCUAUAUGUGGCCAAUUCAUCUAACAUAGCCUUUUGGACCGUGUAUUUUUUCCUUCGAGUCUUUUGAUGUAACAGCGGUUCAAUUGCCUUGACCGAUGUUCCAUUGAUCCAAUUCGAUGUCACGAAAGAGGCUAUAUUUUUUACAUUGCCUGUGGUGACUAUAUAUAGUUAAUGAAUUGAAGAGCUUGUGAUCAGAUUUGUCACAAGGAAUCUCCGUAUUGCUCCACGCUCUUUCCUUUUGUUUCUACUUAAACCAUAGCCGUCAUCUCAAUUGGACAAUCCCUUCGCCUUGGGAAGGGCGUGGUGGUGGACUAGUUGAUCAACGAAUGUCCUCCAAUGAUGUUCUCAAGUGGUAUUUCUCCUCGCCAAAGAAAAUUACGCCACAUCCUGUCUAUUCUUUUGAGCCUGGAACACUAUCAAAUGGUAUAUUAUUGGCAGCGUCAUUAGAAUCAUUUCUGUACUGGUGUUUCUCUAUUAGAUGUUGGCAGGAAUUUUCCUUUCCACCCCGGGAGCCUGGCACCAAAAUCUUUUCUAUCAGUGGCUAGACCUCCCUCCUUUCUUAAUUUCCGGGUAUAUGUAAUUGAAGCCCUAAAUAUUUUCCCUGGGAAGUUGUGGAUGAGCGAAGGGACCAUGUUAGGUUGGAGCCAUAUUGGAAAAAAAAAAUAGUCUUGGACAUGUUAAUUUUUAGCCCUGAACAAUUUCCAAAGAAAUGUAGGAAUUUUGUAAGCUGCUCAACUGCUCUGAAGAUGGGUUUGCAAACAAACCCACAUUUUAUUUGUGUAGAGAGAGCACCACAAGUUUGCUGCUUCCGGUACAACCAGUUGUAGGAUAUCCUGUUGUGCCGCUCAUAUUCAAUGAUUUGUUGGUAGCGGGUCUACUGCUAACAUGCAUGAAAAGUAGGGGCCGGGAAAGCGGAUUGCUUUGCCUCAAUCCUCUUGCAUGUUUGAUGUUUUGACUCGAUCAUCUAUUUAUGAGAAUUUUGGAUGAGAAGGACCCUAAGUUUCUUUGAUAUCCAAUUAGGUCAUUUUGUGCUAAAACCAAGCGCAGUUAGAAAUUCCAGAAGGUGUGCCAUUCUAUGGAGUCGAAAGCUUUGGAGAUGUCCAGUUUUAUAAAUAGAUCGAGUGAGCUGAUUUUUUUCUGUAGAAGUUGAAUACUCUUUGUACAUAAAGAAAAUUGCCCCUUUUAUUGAUGAAUGCAUUUUGAGCAUGUGAAACCAACUCAUUCAUAUAUGGAGCUAGUCUAUUUGCAAAGAUUUUCGUAAUGAUUUUUAUGAGGCUGUUAAUUAGGCUAAUCAGUCUCUAUACUCAAACAUUGUUUGUGCUUCCUACUUCUUAGGGAGUAGAACUAUACUUGCUUCAUUAAACAACUGCAUUUUUGCAGUCCUAUGGUUGUCGUUCUUGAUUAUAUCCCAACUCUUCUUAUAGAAGAUCCCGAUAAGACCAACUAGUCCUGGGGCUUUCUACGACGGAAGCUCCUUGAUUAUGGUAAGUAGCUCCUGCUCUGUAAAUGGCAUGUCUAGUUCAUCAAGGUUAUGUGGAGAGUAACCCAACGUCUCCCAAUUGAUUGACUAUAUGUUCUUGUAGCUCUUGUUCCCUGGCUUUGGCGAAGAACUCAACAGGGGACCUCUGUUCCCACGUUGGGAAAUUGCGACCCUCUCCUCAAUGUGAAUUGUGCUUAUAUAUUUUUCCUUCGUCUAGCGUUUGCAUGUAGUUGGGAAAAAUGAGUAUUAGUAUCAUCAUUCCAUAUUUAGCUAGGUCAGUCAAAAGUGUUGUCUCGCCUUUGCUUUCUGUAUUGCGAUUAGACCCAUUGAUUUUGCCUUAAGAUAUUUCUUGAAUUCCACUUCUUCUAUUGUCAGGGGACGUCUUUUCUGUGCCUUCUCUAGCUCUCUAUAGGAUGAUGUGAAGGACGUCAUUCCCUAGUUUCCAUUCAGUAAACAGUGUAUGCUUCCAUACUUUUAACGCUCUUGCCAUGCGGAGGAGCUUGGUGUUUACUGUCUGUUCCCAUGUUGAACCAUCUAUAUAAACCCCAGCAUAUUUACCCAAUAGUAAAAAUGGAAACCAUGGCAAAAUUCAAAAGUAAUAUCCUCUACAAGAGCAAAAGACCAUGGUCCCAUUAUUUUGCUAUGUGAGCCCACUCCUCUUAUUUUUCACCUUUAUUUUGAUUAUGCUACUCAAGUGUUGUAUCUGACUUUUAUUUUUUGACUUGGCUUACUCCUCUUAAGAUGUCAUUUGUUCCAAAUCCUUAAUGUUGGAAGUGGUUAGAAUUCCUCUAGUAGCGGAGGUCAGUCGAGCCUACUCGCUCGCUGCAGCGAGAGGCUUGAGUGUGCUAACAAUCAAGGAAGAGAGAGCUCGAAACCCUAGAACAGUAGUGUUUCAGUAAAUUGGUUUCAACUAACUCUUGAAAGAGCAUUUAUAACCCCUUUAUAUAGGGUGCGGAUCCCAACCGAGAUCCGUUACAGCAAUGCCCCAUGACGGUGGCGGGAUAUUCCAGCAUAUUUCGCCACUACAAUCUAUAACCCACAGGGCUACUUGAGUAAUUUCGAACUGCAAGCUCUUUGCAGGCUGUCGCGUCGGAGUCCUGGUCCUAUCGUAGCUCGAUCCUUCUCCUAUCCUUCGUCGAGGCUCAUAGAUCCUCCGCCUUGCGGCCGACGAGGGAUCUUUGUCCGCCACUCAGAGGUUCUUCGGCUUGGUCGGGGUCAGCACGUCCUUCAUCACGCAAGGGCUGAAGGAUGGGCCCUUACCCCCUGUGAUUCUCCGCUCCAGGUUGGUUCCUGCACACAUGUCUCACCAAACCGAUCUGCAUCAGCAUUAAAUUUUUCCGAACCUUCGUCCCUUAUCGUCCGAAGGUUGGGGGCAUGAAGGUUCGGUCAUCGCGAUCGAGUUACAUCUUUUCUCUCCGAUGCAGCUAGGGGGUGAAGGCGUGGUUGAGUUCUCAAUACUUAAAUAUAUAAUUUGUCCAUACACAAAUUUCAAGUCGUUUUGGACAUGAUUUAGGAUGCCAAGAAGUGAUUAAUCAGAUGUAUUUUUUCUUAUCAGCACCUAUUAUUAAAUAGAGUUCGGGUUUCUCCAUAGAUCAACCACUCGUCGCUAUACUGGCAAGCAGUGUGAAGCCCAAGGUGUUAGGUCUUAGGUUUAAUCCCUUGCUUUCAGUUCUUUUUUAAUUGGUGGUCGUUUUUUUCCAUAGCCUGCAUGGCUAAGCGAUACAAUUGGCUCUUCGACGUUCGAGUGUGUGUGAAGUGAGAGGAGCCAUGAUUUACUUAUGAAUGCACAUGGCGUGAGAGGAGGCACGAGUUACUUUCCUCUUCAAGACUGAGACUGAGCGACUGGACACGGGAGACGAAGGACCGGGGGGUGAUUAACUUUGUUCAAAAUGUUGUUAAAGAUGCAAAAAGACUUCAAUUGUGAACACCCCACUCACCAUCCAAAACUACUUUAAUUUGAAAUAUGAAGGGAGUCUUCACAAAGUUGUGAAUAUAAGUUAUGUUCCGUAAAAUAUUAUGAUAAAAGUUGUGUGUGUAACUUGGUACGUUUGAUUGAGUGCAGCGUGAUCUAUUUUUCUCUUCGAGAGUGGUUGACUCGACAUGGGAGACGAAGGACAACCAGGGUGGAUUCAUGCAAAAUGACUUCAAUUGUGAACACCCCAAUCACCCUCCAAAACAACUUCAGUUUUGAGUACGGAGGGAGUAUCAUUAUUCCUGUUAUGUAAGCCCACUUUUAGGUCCAGAUUAAUUAGCUUUACUGCAUAUAUGUAAAUAUGUCAAAUAUAUACUUUUUGAAAUAAACUAUAUUCAAAACAAAUCUACCCACAUCAUCACUUCCAUACAUUCAAACUAAACAUGUAAACAUCAUUCAAUAGUCAAGAGGUUUCGAGAUGAUUGACGUAAGACAACCUGAAAAUGUCGAUUUAAUAAAAAAAUCAAAGCAUUUGUCGUCAAAGUAAUUUUUGAAAUGAUUGACCCACAUCAUCACUUUAAUACAUUCAAACUAAACAUGUAGUGUUAAUAAUUAUACAUCUUCUGCUACCUACCAAUAAGCCCCUCACGCAGCACACGGCUCCGUUUUCUAGUUUUUGUCUUGUAUUCGUUCAUCAGAUGAAUUCUGUAUUUGAAGAGCAGUGCGUGUCGCCACCUCAUGAAAAAAGCGUGCCAGCUAGGUACUUGUUUUAAUUUCCACCGUGUGAGUAUUUUUUUUGAAGUGGUGAGUUAAUUAAAUGAAACCAUUUAAUUUUUCGAAUCACAAAGUCUGCAACCCAGUUUUGCAACCAUAUAGCGAAUGAAGCAUAAUCGAAAAGUCAUGGAACACAGUCACAUCACAUGCAUGGCCCACAUGCAUGCAUAACGACAAUUUGUAAACAAAAAGAUGUGAGUGCAUCAUAAGGUAGCAGUGAUCGAACAAAAUACGUGUCCUCCAAAACCGUACGGAGAACGGAUCGGAGGAAGUAUGUUUUUGACGAUGGUAAAGUUUAUUUUGCGUAUAUGCUUUCACUUUUUCAUCCAUUAGAAGUGUGCAAACACACAUCUCAAUGUGUGAAACUGCUUUAAGAUAUGUGUUUACACACUUCUCAAAGCGAGUCCAAUAGAUGGGAGAGUGAGAGUAUAUGCCCUCAAGGACAAAAAAAAACAAAAAAAACUUUUGACGAUAAGAUGUAGUGCCCGUUUUUCAUUAAGUGGAAAUGAUCGUAGAAAGUACACGGAAACAACAAGCCAAAGGACAUCUCUCUCACACACACGUACGACACGGACGUACAUACGGAGAGAUUUUUUAUUCAGUAUACGACGUAGCAGUAUAUAUAGUAGACAACUCAUCAUCACCCGUAGAUAGAUAGAGACUCAAGCAUGGUCGUCGUCGAUGCUCCGGCGCCGACGACGGCGGCGGAAUGGAUCAUCGAUCGACGAUCAUCAGGUCGUCGUUUCGGUUUAGCUCACCCUGGAGCAGUCGGUGGAGGUGCUGAUGGUGUAGGGGAUGCUGACGCCGCACUUGGAGGGGAUGCUGGCGGCCUUGCCGACGUUGAGGCCGCGGAUGCCACGGGCGGCGUUCUUGAGGCAGUUGCAGGCGGCGCGCCUGUCGGCGGUGGUGCGGGCGGCGGAGUUGAGGCUCCUGACGCCGCUGCAGCAGCCUGCGGAGGGUCCAGAGCCCUGGCCGCGGGCGUAGGACAGGCAGGGCCCGAUGGCGGAGCUCACCUGACCGCAUGUCACGGCGGCCUCCGAGGUCGUCGCCGCCAGCACCACCGCCGCCACGACGGCGAUCGCCACAGCAAGCUUCAUGCUGCGAGCCAUGUCGAUCUCGAUCGACCUCCUGUGAUAUAUGUGCUGAUGCUCGUAGGUGACUGAUAGCUUUUGGGAUGCAGUGAGUGAGCAAGUGCUAGCUGGUGAGGAGAUUGCAAUGGAAUGUUGCUCCUUAAAUAGGCAGGCUUUGUGAUCGAUGUGUGAGCUAGCUAGCGAUUGCUGAUGAGUGAUGUGCAUGCAUGGGAUGGGUGUGCAUGCUGUUUCAGUCGGUGGAUGCAUGCAUAUGCGUAUAUGUCCAUGGAUCGAUGGUAUCUCUCGCCAUGCAUCGAAGUUAACUGCUGGGGAGGAGGUGGUUGGGUGUUGAGGGAGGAGGGCAGAUGCUUGUUUAGUUGUUGUAAUACCCGAUUUUAAGGACAAAACCAGAUAUGCACCAUAUGUGAGUUUUAAAAGCCAAAUCUCACAUAUAGCUACAAAUAAGGGGUAAUAUCAAAAGACAAUGCAAAAAUUAUAUAACGUACAUAAUAUAAAAGAGAUAACCUUUGAUAGCAAACAACGGAUAGACAACUCCAAACUCCGGGUAUUAACUUCUCUCUACAGGAUCCAACUGACUGGUUGAUCACAAGCCUAAACUUCUCCUGAGGUUUGGGGGAAAUAGCAAGAGUGAGUCCAUGUCAAACUCCACAAGUAUAGCAACUAGAUUGUAUAGCUCCCACAAUCUCAUGAUCAAUGUGACAUAAAUAAUGUAAAGCAUUAAACAAUAAGCAAUGAGCAUAUUUAACACACAAGAUUCAUCACCCUUAAUGUAGAUGUCCCCAAGGCCGUUCCUGACCGUGAGCUCGGCUAGUAUACUAGUUUUAACACUCUGCAGAGGUUGCACAUCUUUACCCAUGAGUCAUGAUUUACCCUUUCGCCCGAGGUGAUCAGCCUCUUAACCCACUUCCAAGGAAGGUCGGCAGGGAUCACUAUGAAGCCUUUCAAAAGUUCGUCUAACAUGUUAGGGCCGCAAGGUUUCCUUUGCGAGCAGAUAUAGAUACCCCCCUUCCGAAUGGCACAAUGACGCGCAGCCUAUACACAUAGGGACAGGGGCUCGCACUAUACCCGUGUCGGUUCAGCCCCUCCGCCCUUUCGGGUAACCUCUAACAAGCUAGAAAAGGUCUUCAUACUGAGCUAAAGCCAGAGCCAUUAUAGCCCUCAUGGUUGCACUGUUAUCCCGGGUGAUCACGUACAGACAAAUCAUCAAGUUGUUAAAAAGUCAUUUUUACCAUUUAUUACUUAACAUUAAUCUAGUCACAGGAUCAUGGUCACAGAAAUAAAAUCCAAAUGCUAUACUUGCCUCAAUCCAAUUGCUCUUGCUUAUCCUUUUGGUCCUGCUGGUCUCACUUGUUGCCAAAGCUUUGAUCUUGAUCACCGAAACUGCUCUCCGUCUAAACUCGAUCAUCGAUCAUCAACACACAAACAAUCGGACACAACAUACACGUAGCAAACAAGGCUAUAAUUAGAACAGUACACCAAUCAUAUAAAAACAAUAUGAAAAAUUUGUAAAAUAAUUCUACGCAUCGCUACGAUCUCACAGACGUAAAGAUGACGAAAAUCGGAGUUAAAACGGAAAAGAUAUGGAUUUUCUAAGAUUUUAUAUAGAAAAGUAAUUAAUUAAUUAAGGUCACGAAAUUAAAAGGUUUCAAACUGAGUGAACAAUAUUACUAACAUGUAGUGCUCGUGAUUACGAACCUAACACAAUUUCAAUGGACAAAACGGAGUUAAAACAGAGAUGAUAUGGCCUAAAUAAACUAGCGUAUUUUCUUUGUAUUUUUAGGUUUGUUUUUCUAAAGGAAAACGGCAAUAAAACAUGUCUAUGUUAUAACGACGUCAUCAAGCUAGCCAGCAACGUUUAUUCGCAGAUAUAUGUUAGACAUGUACAUCCCUAGAUCGAUUGCUGCGCAGAUAGAAACAUCGCCGGGCGAAACAAAUCAGUGCAUGCACUUGUAGAGGCUUUGUGAAAUUUCUCACACAGGAAUCGACAUAUUAAAGAUGCAAAGUUACCUCUUAUGGUGAUUAUAAGAUUCAAUAGGACAUGCUUGCCGAACGAUGGGUCAGUGGCCACGUCGUCAAGAACAGGUUGAUCUACGGCAACACCUUCUACUCCCGUGCUCUGUUGCUUGCUACUCUUCACGUGGCCAGCGAUUUGGUCUUCUGCUUCUUUGGUCCACAAUCACGAUGGUUCACCGGAACAUGGCAAGCAGCUCUGGCAAGCAGGACGUGGCAAGAGCAGAGCGGCGGCCGUAACAUGGCAAGGGCAGCAUCUAUCUAGGCAUGGCCGACGGCGGCGGCUCUCAAGGGUUUUAAGGACGUAAACACUCUAGACGAAUAUGACGUGUAUAUAUACGUGCGGUCUAGAUCAAGUUUGAUUAGGGUUAGAACUUAUUAUUUUUGGAAUUAAUUAUUUUCAUGGAUAAAAUAAUUAUAGAAAAGUCCAGAAUUAUUAUUUAAACUAUGAAAAAUAUUCUAAAAGCUCUGAAAAUUCGGAGAAAAUUCUCAGAGACAUUAUGGAAUAUGAGGAACUCAAAUAACGUAUUUGGACCUCAUGAUAAGAUAAUUUGGAGCAUCUAAAAAUUAGAUUUAUGCUCAUAGAAAAGUGAGAAUAGAAGAUGGAAAAAUUCCCGAAAAGUUUGUAGAGAUUGCUUGAUGGACGAGGAACUAAAAGAAGUGCUUUGAGUGACAAAGAAAAGAUUUUAGGAAGCUCCUAAUAAAAAAUUGAGCUGAGAAACCAAAGAAUUUGGUUAUAGAUAAAGAUAAAGACGUACUGGUCAAGGAAGAUCUACUAAACGCAUUUUAAAACUUUGCUCACUCAACACAUAAAGGAGCAACAAGUCAACAUCACAUCAAAACAUAUGCACCAGCAUGUAUGCACAACAAUAUUGCUAAGGCUUAUGAUAAAUUUUAAUUUAAUGAAAAUUAUUAUUUUCCUUAUAUUUUCGUGAGCACAAAAUACAAAACUGAAUAAAUUUUCAUCUAUUUUGAAAAGAGCAAAAUUUAGGGUGUUACAGUUGUCAAAAUUUUUUAAAAUUCUCAAUCAAAUUAAAUCUUGGGACACAAUGUAUCAAAUAUUAAAUAUAGAUAAAAAUUAAUUAAUUAUAUAGUUUGUAUAUAAUUUGCGAGAUAAAUUUUGUAAACCUAGUUAAUCUAUAAUUAAACAAAAAUUAUUAAAUAUAAACGGUGCUAUAGUAACUAGAUCCAAAAAUUUUCACCAACUAAGGGCUUGUACAACGAUGGGCGCUUAUGAUCAGGUAUUGGCCGUUAAAUAGUUUUUUUGCCACACGGUGGAGUCCUGAGCGGGCGCUUAAAAAUAGAUUUGCCGCUCCGUAAAGCAUCGACGCCUAGACCGGCUCCUUGCUUGAUACUGGUGUUUGCAUGCGACGUAACGGUCACAACUUAAGCGCCUUCAAAUACGUGUUGUGUUGUAGAUUAAGGUUAUAAAGAGACGCUUAGUUACAAAAGUAUUUUCUCUUUCCAUCUAAGCGCCUUUUGCAUUGUACGUGCUCUAAACAAGGCCACAGAUACAGACAUACAGUGGUUAGCUGAGGCAGAGUGAAAUCAUUAGCAGCAAACAUAUAAUAAAUAGCAGCCGCCUAGCACGACUUAGCGCCACUUAAGUUUUGUUUAGUUACGCUCGAAAUCCAAAAACUUUUCAAGGUUCUCUUCACGUCGAAUUUAGAGACACAUACAUGUAGCACGACUUAGCGCCACUUAAGUUUUGUUUAGUUACACUCGAAAUCCAAAAACUUUUCAAAGUUCCCUUCACGUCGAAUUUAGAGACACAUACAUGAAGCAUUAAAUAUAAAUAAAAAAAUAACUAAUUACAUAAUUUAUCUGUAAUUUGAGAGACGAAGCUUUUGAGUCUAGUUAGUCUAUAGUUGAACAAUAAUUAUCAAAUAUAAAAAAAAAUGUUAUAGUACCAAAAAAAUCUUUUCACUCACGAACUAAAUAAAGGCCCUAAUCUCAUCAUCCGCCUCACUGUUUAAUCGAAUGUCCUUGAUGGCCACCCACAGGCUCACAAAACCUGAGACGGUGAGACCUUGCCUGGGGUAGUAUAUGGGGCCAAUGGCCAAUCCAUUUAUCAGUUUGCCCAAGGCAGGUGGUGGGCCACUCUGUUCAAUUUUGAGUCUAAUAUAUGCAAUAUCUUCUCUUUUGUGCAAUUUUUGUCCGUGGGUUCAAACAAUCCUGCCACCGUGUCACCGGUGGCUGAUCGUGUCAACCCUUCGCCGCAGUCCGCUCCACCACAGUACGGGGGGCCCAGUUGCAGUCUCUGCCACCGCAGUAGGGAUGUUGAACUUGUAAUAAUAAAUAUGUGAGUGCUUUUAAUAUAUAAUGCAUGUUGGUGAUAUAGAUGUGAUAAUUGGCGUGUGUGUAUAUAUAUUGUCUGUUACAAUGGAAUGUAAAAAAUAAAACAAAUACAAUUCUCGGGGUCUUCGCCGAGUGCGGUGCCAGGGUCACUUGGCAAAGCAAUUUAAAAAAACAAUUUUGCCGAGUGUCGGGGCCACGACCACUCGGCAAAGAAUUUUUCUUUAAAAAAGAAAAGACACUUUGCCGAGUGCUGAUGCUAGGGGCACUAGGCAAAGUAUUUUUAAAAAAAACAAAUAUGCGGAGUGCCGCGGCAAGGGACACUCAGCAAAUAUUUUUUUUUUAAAAAAAAAGAAAGAAAAUCUUUGUCGAGUGCCUGAGGCCAGAGGCACUUGGCAAAGCAAUUUUUUUUAAAAAAACUUUGCCGAGUGUUAAGGGGCCAGGGGCACACGGUAAAAUAUUUUUUAAAAAACAAAAACUUUGUCGAGUGUCGUGUCGGGCAACUCGGCAAAAUAACUGUUAACGGCAGAUGCUGUGACGGCCAAAAAUGUUGCCGAGUGCUGUCGUAAGCACUCAGUAAAAUGUUUUUAAUAUUUUGCUAAGUGCCUCGGUAAAAAGCACUCAGCAAAGUCUCUUUGUCGAAAAUUUUUUUGCCGAGCGAACUUUGCUGAGUGCUACGUUCGGCAAAGCCUUUGCCGAGUGCAAAGGGCUCUUUGUCGAAUGUAAAAACACUCGGCAAAGUCCUAAUUUCCAGUGGUGGGUGUGCUGGGACAAUUUAGAAAGCAAGCAACGAUUUCAUUUUGCGUUAGAUCACUCCCAUCCUCGAAGCCUCAGUUUUUUUUUUCAGAAAUAAGUUCCAGCUGUUGCUGCUGAGAACUAAAAGAAGCUUUUCACCCUUGAUUGAUCAAUGGAUUGGCUCUCUAGUUUAACAGGCUUCUUUGUUGUACUCUUUUUGCUCUUUUUUCCUUAGUUUUUUUGUUCCUUAGUUAAGACUCCACCCUACUGCCUCCUUAACUGUUGUGCUUUUUUUUUUGUAAAAGACCUUUUUUAUUAUAAUUUUUGCAUUGUUGUAGGGGUGCAAACCCCUCCAAUCUCCUUCAAAAAAUUCAAAAGUAAUAUAACCUUGCAGAACAAAGGACGGUAAUCCCACCAUUUUGCUAUGUGAGCCCACUCCUCUUAUUUUUUUUACUUUUAUUUUGAUUAUGCCCACUCCUGUUAAGCAGUCAUUUGUUCCAUUCCCUAAAUAUAUUUCUAUUUUUUAGAAUAUUCAAUAAGGCGUAUAUACAUUAUAUUUUAAGAAAUAAACUAUAUUCAAGACAAAUCUACCCACAUCAAUAUUACUUGUAUACAUUCAAAUAAACAUGUAGACAUAAUAAUUCGAUAGUUAAGGUUUCAAAAUGAUUGAAAUAAGACAACUUGAAAUAUGUCACAAUAAAAAAUUAUUUGUGGUCAAAGUUUCUGAAAUUAUUGACUUACGACAACGUACAUCCAAGUGUCACUUAAUUGCUUUGUGAGCAGAGGGAGUAUAUAUUUUGGCAAGUUACCCUCCAUCUAAAAAUAUAAAACACAUGUUUUUAGGACAGUAAGAUUUGACCAAUAGGUGCUUGUGCCAUUAAUAUGCAUAAAUCAUAGAUACUUUUGAAUACAAAUAUCUAGUUACAUCAAUUUGCUACCACAAAAUUGCAAGUAUCUUGGUUAAAGCCAUGUCUAACAAAACAUGAGCUUUGGGAUGGAUAUAUAUCAUAUUGGUGUGUACGUUUAGUAGUCUCUCUUCGUUUCAAUUUAUUAGAUGUUGUUUUGGCUUUUGUAGAUACAAAAAUUUUUUUAUGUAUCUAGAUAACGUUUAUUAUGAUAUAGAUAUAUCGUAUAUCUAUAUGCCUAAAAAACUGAAUAUCUAGAAAAACUAAAAUAACCUAUAAUUUAGGAUAGAGGGUGGUAAUAAUUAUACAUCUUCUGCUACCAAGUCCCUUAAUUACAGCACACAGCUCUGUUUUCUAGUUGCCUUGAUCGUUCAUCAGAUGAAUUAUGUAUUUGAAGAGUAGCGCGUGUGUGGUCAUGUCAUGAAAACGUGCUAGCUAGGUACUUGUUUUAAUUUCCACCGUGUGAGUAUUUUUUUUUUUCAAGUGGCGAGAGUUCAUUAAUUAAAUAAAACCAUUCAAUUUUUCAAAUCACAAUACGUUGUCUGCAAAUCCUCUGAGUCAGCCAGUUUUUCGUUACGUGCUAUACUCCGUCCAUUCUAAAUUAUGUUUUUUAAACUUUUUGGUAUAUUCAUUUUGCUACAUACUAAAAAAAUUAAAAAUAACUUAUAAUUUAGAACAGAAGAGGUAUAUAUAUAGUUGCAUAUAUGCUGACAAGUGUUUGGGGGAGAAUAGAGCAGUAACUCUCUUGACCAAGCGUUUGGGAGUCAUGGAACACAGUCACAUGGCGCAUGCAUGCGUAACAACAAUUUGGAAACAAAGAGAUGUGUGUGUGCAUGUAGCAGUGAUCGAACUAGUACAAACCACAGGAGCGAGAGGAAACGUACACGGACAUAAAUAAUAAACACCGCACAUAGUGCAUGCACUCAAAAAUAAACCCAACAAGCAAAAGUACAUCUCUCACACACACAUGUACACACGCACGUACGUACAUACGCUAAGAUGCAAGCGUAUCACAGCGUACACGACGACACGUACGUACAUACGGAGAGAUUUUUAUUCAGUAGUACGACGUAGCAGUAGUAGACAACUCAUCAUCUCAUCAUAUCAGGCGUAGAUAGAUACUCAUCCAUGGUCGAUGCUCCGGCGCCGAUCGACGACGACGGCGGCGGCGGCGGAAUGGAUCAUCGAUCGAUCGAUCAUCGUUUAGGUUUAGUUCACCCUGCAUGAUCAUGCAUGCAUGGAAGACGAAGCACAAGUUAAUUAAACGACUUGAUAUUCAAGUUGAAUCAGACCAUGCAUGCAUGCAAAGUUGCAAACAACUUGUAGUGAUUGGAUCAUUCAUUCAGAUCAUCACUUAAUUACCUGGAGCAGUCGGUGGAGGUGCUGAUGGUGUAGGGGACGCUGACGCCGCACUUGGAGGGGAUGCUGGCGGCGUUGCCGGCGUUGAGGCCGCUGAUGCCACGGGCGGCGUUCUUGAGGCAGUUGCAGGCGGCGCGCCUGUCGGCGGUGGUGCGGGCGGCGGAGUUGAGGCUCCUGACGCCGCUGCAGCAGCCUGCUGAGGGUGCGGAGCCCUGGCCCCGGGCGUAGGACAGGCAGGGCGCGAUGGCCGAGCUCACCUGCCCGCAGGAGAUGGCCGCCUCCGAGGUCGUCGCCGCCAGCACCACCACCGCCGCCGCCGCCACCACGGCGAUCGCCACAGCAAGCCGAGCCAUGUCGUCGAUGUUCUGGGGGU
RNAcentral lists this long non-coding RNA (13721 nucleotides) under Sorghum bicolor (sorghum). RNAcentral's name for it is "long non-coding RNA (SBIC_LNC013492)". Lineage: Eukaryota; Viridiplantae; Streptophyta; Magnoliopsida; Poales; Poaceae. The record is from RNAcentral.